Molecule: long non-coding RNA, 1515 nt
Organism: Nicrophorus vespilloides
Lineage: Eukaryota; Metazoa; Arthropoda; Insecta; Coleoptera; Silphidae
Exons: 2
Source: RefSeq, a predicted model, not a curated record
AAACCCCCGCAUCUUCCAUAAUUUUAAUCCUUCGCAAUUAGAAUUCCGUAUCCAUAUUUUUCUUUGCACGCUGUCUCCUGCAACUCCACCUCCGCCUUCUCGUCCCAUCCCUCUUCCUCCUACACACUGGCUUUACACAAGCUUUUCCACAUAAACACUUAUGCAUAUUGUCUCGUGGAUGUGGCUUAUGCGUGUUUCUGCAUGUGCACACGAGUGUCUGUAUGUGUGUGUGUGACUGCAUCGCGCAUUGCGAGGGGGGUCGGUGGGGGGAUCCGAAGGGGGCGUCGGGACGCCGAGGGGCCGCGCGUUUGGAGUCUGGCCAGGCGUCGGUGCAGCCUCAGUCCGCACGCGGAGCUCCCGAGCUCCGAGUGCUCUCAGCAUCCCCCAAUGAUGAUCGCACAUGAUGAUCACCACAACAACAAACUUUCGAACUGAAAGAUAAACAACAACAACAACAACAACGAAAAAUAUGCGAACCAUGCGUUAGCCGAAGUACUUAAACACACAUAAACACCAUCACCGCACAGAAGAAGAGAGACAAGAGUUCUUCCCUUUACUUCCACCUGUUAUGGAGAGCUUAGGAUACGAAGGCGCGCCUCCUAAGACCCGAAGAGGCAUGCAGACCGACCACCUCACAUAAUUCGAUUUGAGCGUUUCCUCCACCAUCUUUCCUCCUUUUGAGGACACGACCCCGCGCACAGAAGGCAACCGCCGUCGGACGCGGAUCUCUUGUUGACCUGAAGAAGUCCACGUCCCACCGCGUGUCCCCGAUCAGGACACAAACCCUCCUUUGCUCGGCCGUCGUCCCUUCCAAAAUGACUACAAGAUGAUGGACACGAGCUGCAGAAACCGGCGACCGUGUCACCGCCGACUUCCGGAACUCCACACAAAACAAGAAACGCUCAAAUUUUCACAUCGAAUACACAUUUUGUACAUAGUUAAACGGAACGUUGUUGGAUCCACGAAAGGAUUCGUAGGAAGGAUCGAGUAACGUUCCUUUGUGAGGCGAGAAGUUUCCCCGCGGGAUCGACUAGAUUUGUAUAUAAGGAAAGUUUAUAAUUAGUAGUUUUUAAGAAAAGCGACCCGCGCGGAAAACAUCCCCAAUCCGCAUCCAAAGCCCACCAACUUUAAGAAAAUAAAAUAAAACAAAAAAGAGUACUGCAAGGAACAAAACGGAAACGCGACUAGUACUAAGAAUUAAAAAAAAAAGCAAUAAACGUAACCCUCUGAUGUUUAUUAUUGUCAUUAUAAGUAGAGAUUUAGGUUUUUAAGCGUUUGUAGCAAUAUUUUCAAUACCACUUAACUAAGUUUUAUUUUCCGUUGCAUUAAAGAAACAAGAAAAAAAAACGACAAAAAAAAAUUGAUAACGUACCUACUUAUUUUAUGCAACUUAAUAAACACUUAAGUAAUAAUACUAUAUUAUAAUUAAGACAAGAAUGAAAUACGUAAUUUAUAUUGUAUAUUGGAUCGUCCGUCUUUCUACCCAGGGAUCAGAGGCGAUUGAUAUUUAAAGAA